UGCACAUGCAAAGAGUUUAGAUUUUUCCAUGCUUUUGUACGAAUGAUGCAAGGCAUGACUUAUUGCUAGAAAGAAAGUUGUAUUUCGGCCACAUUCACCUAAACAAGGUUCUAACUUUCAUUAACUUCGUAAAUUAAGGUGGGUUGUGGUUUAAACUUGAGGUUGACUUUGAUGGUAACACAUGCACUUAACCAUUUUUAUCUCAAAACCUACAGUGAUUCUGAGG
Molecule: long non-coding RNA, 226 nt
Filed under: Setaria viridis
Lineage: Eukaryota; Viridiplantae; Streptophyta; Magnoliopsida; Poales; Poaceae
Description: long non-coding RNA (SVIR_LNC000231)
Source: RNAcentral